AGUUCUGCCUCGGACCCCGGCCAAUCCCCCAGAUCUCCCCCGGGACCCCCCACCCCGCAGCCCACCCACCCGAGCGCACAGCUCCUCACCUGAGGGGCCCAGUCGCGUCGGGCCUCCCGAGGGGGCUGCGAGUGUCAGUCGGCUCUCCGCACGUGUCCGCGGCCUCGCGGAGCAGUCCACCCCUGGCUGGUUUCUGCUUCCACCUGCUGAUCUCACAGAGGUGAGGUGAUAACAGUGAUGAAACAAAAUCUUCAAACCACAGCACAGUAAGAAGAUGCCGAGUUUAUAUGUGGACACUGCUUUUGUGACUAUGACUAUUGUUGUGGGUUUCCUUGCUUUCCAUCUCGCCAGUUCCCUUCUUGACAUUGUACAGCUAUUUCCUUUGUAAUACAGAAACUCUCUUACAGAAUAUUUCCACAGCUGGCUUUCAUCACUUCUUGAUAGCACUGCAAGCUAUUUGGCAUAUGAAGGUCUUGACCUGAGAAAACCAUCUUGGAUAACUGCAGCAAGGAAAAGGAAAAAUGCAACACCUAGGAGAUUUCAGUAAACAGUAGAAUCAUGCCAACCUAAUCUGUGUUAAAAUGCUUGGAAUGUGGGAGCCGCUGAUGAUGCCUCUUGUCUGUGUGUCUGACUGAAUCCUUUCUUUUCUCAGAGCAGCAAAGCAAAGCCUGGGAACCAGGCCAAAUGCCUGCCACUUACCUUAAAUUGAUCAGCCACUUUGAGAUUAAAACCCCUGAAAGCUGCCACACCGUGAAAACAAGGCCUCCUUCACAUUAAAGGCAAAUUGCGACUUUG
Molecule: long non-coding RNA, 795 nt
Filed under: Homo sapiens (human)
Lineage: Eukaryota; Metazoa; Chordata; Mammalia; Primates; Hominidae
Description: CDK6 antisense RNA 1
Source: RNAcentral